This 345-nucleotide ribosomal RNA is filed under the name uncultured rhodophyte. RNAcentral describes it as "SSU rRNA". It matches the Rfam family "Eukaryotic small subunit ribosomal RNA", at positions 576 to 926 of the family's 1831-position model. The record is from RNAcentral. Lineage: Eukaryota; Rhodophyta.
GCGGUAAUUCCAGCUCUGUAAGCGUAUACCAAAGUUGUUGCAGUUAAAACGCUCGUAGUCGGAUUUUGGCGAACGCAGCGGGCCGUCCGCGAGGACGCGACCUGUUUGCGGACGCCUUUGUGGAGGGGGGCUCGGUGGUGCUUUAUUGCAUUGCCGAGUCGCUGCCACCGUUUACUGUGAAUAAAAUAGAGUGUUCAAAGCAAGCAAUUUGCCCUGAAUAAAUUAGCAUGGAAUAAUAGAAUAGGACCUAGUCUUGUUUCUAUUGGUUUAUAAAGUCUGGGUAAUGAUUAAGAGGGACGGUUGGGGGCAUUUGUAUUCCAGAGCUAGAGGUGAAAUUCUUGGAUU